AUAUAUCUAUUAAUAAAUUAUUGUAGUCAAACUACAAUUAAUGAUAAGUACACAUGUGAUCAAAGUAGAGUGCCAAAUGUCGCAUUGGUAGGCAAAGUUAGAAAAAACCUUCUUUUAUAUAAUAAGAUAUAUAUAUAUAGAUAUAUGUAUAGAGUUAAGCGGUGACGUUGCCUAAAAGGCUAAAAUAAUGCGUGAAGUGACAUGUAUGUUAGAUUCUCUGUUUGAUCUUUCUGAUAAAGAAAAGGUAAGUUUCUGAUG
Molecule: small RNA, 258 nt
Filed under: Arabidopsis thaliana (thale cress)
Lineage: Eukaryota; Viridiplantae; Streptophyta; Magnoliopsida; Brassicales; Brassicaceae
Description: ATSL282670
Source: RNAcentral